UGCAGCAUCCAUUCUCAUCCUCUUCACUUUUCCACUCCUCCCCUUACCUCCCUUCUCUUCUGAAUUCUCCAUUCUGGGCUCUUGCCUGUGAAAUCUUUCUUCGCUUUCCCCAUCUUUUCCUCGCAUUUUUUCACCAUCUUUCCCUCAAUCUCCAGGAGCCAAUGCGAGACUUUGGCUCCGAUUAAGCGACGGCCCGAGACUCGGGGUGCGCGAGGAGGAUCGACAGAGUGGUGAUGGAGAGCACCCCUUCAAGGGGACUGAACCGAGUACACCUACAAUGCAGGAAUCUGCAGGAAUUCUUAGGGGGCCUGAGCCCUGGGGUAUUGGACCGAUUGUAUGGGCACCCUGCCACUUGUCUGGCUGUCUUCAGGGAGCUCCCAUCCUUAGCUAAGAACUGGGUGAUGCGGAUGCUCUUUCUGGAGCAGCCUUUGCCACAAGCUGCUGUAGCCCUGUGGGUAAAGAAGGAAUUCAGCAAGGCUCAGGAGGAAAGUACAGGGCUGCUGAGCGGCCUCCGGAUCUGGCACACCCAGCUGCUCCCAGGCGGGCUCCAGGGCCUCAUCCUCAACCCCAUUUUCCGCCAGAACCUCCGCAUUGCCCUUCUGGGUGGGGGGAAGGCCUGGUCUGAUGACACAAGUCAGCUGGGACCAGACAAGCAUGCCCGGGAUGUUCCCUCCCUUGACAAGUAUGCCGAAGAGCGAUGGGAGGUGGUCUUGCACUUCAUGGUGGGCUCCCCCAGUGCAGCUGUCAGCCAGGACUUGGCUCAGCUCCUCAGCCAGGCUGGGCUCAUGAAAAGUACUGAACCUGGAGAGCCACCCUGCAUUACUUCCGCUGGCUUCCAGUUCCUGUUGCUGGACACCCCGGCUCAGCUCUGGUACUUUAUGUUGCAGUAUUUGCAGACAGCCCAGAGCCGGGGCAUGGACCUAGUAGAGAUUCUCUCCUUCCUCUUCCAGCUCAGCUUCUCUACUCUGGGCAAGGAUUACUCUGUGGAAGGUAUGAGUGAUUCUCUGUUGAACUUCCUGCAACAUCUGCGUGAGUUUGGGCUUGUUUUCCAGAGGAAGAGGAAAUCUCGGCGUUACUACCCCACACGCCUGGCCAUCAAUCUCUCAUCAGGUGUCUCUGGGGCUGGGGGCACUGUGCAUCAGCCAGGUUUCAUUGUCGUGGAAACCAAUUACCGACUGUAUGCCUACACGGAGUCGGAGCUGCAGAUUGCCCUCAUUGCCCUCUUCUCUGAGAUGCUCUAUCGGUUCCCCAACAUGGUGGUGGCGCAGGUGACCCGGGAGAGUGUGCAGCAGGCAAUCGCCAGUGGCAUCACAGCCCAGCAGAUAAUCCAUUUCUUAAGGACAAGAGCCCACCCAGUGAUGCUCAAACAGACACCUGUGCUGCCCCCCACCAUCACCGACCAGAUCCGGCUCUGGGAGCUGGAAAGGGACAGACUCCGGUUCACUGAGGGUGUCCUGUAUAACCAGUUCCUGUCGCAAGUGGACUUUGAGCUGCUGCUAGCCCACGCGCGGGAGCUGGGCGUGCUCGUGUUCGAGAACUCGGCCAAGCGGCUCAUGGUGGUGACACCGGCCGGGCACAGCGACGUCAAACGCUUUUGGAAGCGGCAGAAACACAGCUCCUGAGAGCGCGGGACUUGGACCCGGACCUCGGCGGGCGGGACCGGGCGGGGCGGGGCAUCAGAACUCAGAUCUCGGCCCUUUUCCAAACACUCCUGAUGCCUCAUUUGCCUCUCGCCUCUUUUCGACCACCAUUUUGGGGGCUGAGGCACUCACGGGGCCUCCCCAGGUUUCAUUCCGUUUCUACACAGUCGGAG
RNA transcript from Pongo pygmaeus (Bornean orangutan), 1813 nucleotides. It is a transcript of the gene named general transcription factor IIH subunit 4, with no coding region annotated. The record is from RefSeq and is a predicted model, not a curated record. NCBI's taxonomy places the organism in Eukaryota, Metazoa, Chordata, Mammalia, Primates, Hominidae. The transcript is spliced from 15 exons.